CCAAAUGGGGACGGGGAUAGACA
This 23-nucleotide non-coding RNA is filed under the name Cricetulus griseus (Chinese hamster). The record is from RNAcentral. Lineage: Eukaryota; Metazoa; Chordata; Mammalia; Rodentia; Cricetidae.